UACGUAGGUCCCGAGCGUUGUCCGGAUUUAUUGGGCGUAAAGCGAGCGCAGGUGGUUUAUUAAGUCUGGUGUAAAAGGCAGUGGCUCAACCAUUGUAUGCAUUGGAAACUGGUAGACUUGAGUGGGCGAGAAGAAGGCGGAAUGCGUGGUGUAGCGGUGAAAUGCAUAGAUAUCACGCAGAACCCCGAUUGCGAAGGCAGCCUUCCGGCGCCCUACUGACGCUGAGGCACGAAAGUGCGGGGAUCGAACAGG
RNAcentral lists this ribosomal RNA (252 nucleotides) under uncultured bacterium. Its description in RNAcentral is "partial 16S ribosomal RNA". It matches the Rfam family "Bacterial small subunit ribosomal RNA", at positions 524 to 776 of the family's 1533-position model. The record is from RNAcentral.